GAUGAACGCUGGCGGCGUGCCUAAUACAUGCAAGUCGAGCGAACGGACUAGAAGCUUGCUUUUCUGAUGUUAGCGGCGGACGGGUGAGUAACACGUUGAUAACCUACCUAUAAGACUGGGAUAACUUCGGGAAACCGGAGCUAAUACCGGAUAAUAUUUUGAACCUCAUGGUUCAAAAGUGAAAGACGGUCUUGCUGUCACUUAUAGAUGGAUCCGCGCUGCAUUAGCUAGUUGGUAAGGUAACGGCUUACCAAGGCAACGAUGCAUAGCCGACCUGAGAGGGUGAUCGGCCACACUGGAACUGAGACACGGUCCAGACUCCUACGGGAGGCAGCAGUAGGGAAUCUUCCGCAAUGGGCGAAAGCCUGACGGAGCAACGCCGCGUGAGUGAUGAAGGUCUUCGGAUCGUAAAACUCUGUUAUUAGGGAAGAACAUAUGUGUAAGUAACUGUGCACAUCUUGACGGUACCUAAUCAGAAAGCCACGGCUAACUACGUG
RNAcentral lists this ribosomal RNA (497 nucleotides) under uncultured bacterium. RNAcentral's name for it is "partial 16S ribosomal RNA". It matches the Rfam family "Bacterial small subunit ribosomal RNA", at positions 28 to 507 of the family's 1533-position model. The record is from RNAcentral.